This 1101-nucleotide long non-coding RNA is filed under the name Toxoplasma gondii VEG. The record is from RNAcentral. Lineage: Eukaryota; Apicomplexa; Conoidasida; Eucoccidiorida; Sarcocystidae.
AACUGGAUGUCGCGUUUGAUGAAGGCAGUCAAUGGCUUCUGCAAGUUACCCCGCUUGUCGCUCAUCCGACGCGAGAACAGUGGUCCGAAGUAUCGCAACACAGCUGUUGGUGUAGAAAUAGUAGAGAAGCCGAGCUUUCGGAGAACAAACGAGAGAGGACGGUCCUCGCGACGAAAUCUGAUACCAUCUUUGGCGCGCGUCUCUUUCCUCAGCCCCUGUCGCGACUCGUUCGUCCGCGGUGUUCACGGUCACAGGGCAGUAUUGCGCAUGAACUGUGAUACCCCGUGUUACUAGGUUGUCGUUGUGUGAAUCGACAAUUCUGGAUGAAUAGAGAGGUAUGACGGUGUCGUACGUUUUCCACUGCGGCGCACGUGUCCCCGUAUGUCUUUCCCACCAGGGAUUCUUUAUCACUCGCUUGUUAACGGAAAUCCCAGAUGAGAGUCGCAACGCAUGCUUCGUAUCGAUCCUGGGCAGGAUCCCCUUGGACGCUGCUGCCAAGUUGCUAACCGCAUAGCUGGCGGAGCGUUGUCUUCAUACGGCGGAACCAGCCGACACGGUCUUGAGCAAUGCCUCCUGAGGCUCCCAGCUCCAGGCAUCCACCUCUGCUGCAUGAUUCGCACCGCGUUGUGUGGCGUCACUAACAGGUUAUUGACACCAGGCCAGGUGUUGUCGAAUUCAACUGAGCACGGCCCUUGACGCGAGAGCGACAGACUCGAGAACGUCUCACGUGCACGAGAUCACAAGUGAAGGAUGGCACAAGGGGACAGCACGGGGAGUUCCUUGUCCUGGUGGGGAAAGGACAACAGCUCGUGGGAUUGUCUGCUCUGGGGGCCUGUGGUGAUGCAUUGUGGUGCCACGCAGUGACCUAGCGUCGAGGAAGGCAAAACGUGCUCCACAGGACUCCUAAAAGGCCAUAGAUACUUUGUGAGUGUUGGGGGAGACAUGGGGAGUAGAACGGUGGACGUGUGGUCGAGGGUAAUGUGCGGCCACUCGACGGCAUGCGCACCGACGCCAAGUCUUACACAGCGUUGUGGAUACUUCGAGGGACGCAGCAAGCUAAUCAGAAACAAUGCGUGGUCGCCAUUUCACACGAAUGAGUGU